CAGUAGCCGCGGGAAAACGUAGGGGGCGAGCGUUGUCCGAAGUUACUGGGCGUAAAGCGCGCGUAGGCGGCUUCUUAAGUCUGAGGUGAAAGGUUCAACGCUUAACGUGAACAGUGCCUUGGAUACUGGGGAGCUUGAGUAUGGGAGAGGGCAGUGGAAUGGCUGGUGUGGCGGUGAAAUGCGUAGAUAUCAGUCGGAACACCCAUGGCGAAGGCAGCUGCCUGGCCUAAUACUGACGCUGAGGUGCGAAAGCGUGGGGAGCGAACAGGAUUAGAUACCCCGGUAGUCCCUGUCUCUUAUU
This 301-nucleotide ribosomal RNA is filed under the name uncultured bacterium. Its description in RNAcentral is "partial 16S ribosomal RNA". It matches the Rfam family "Bacterial small subunit ribosomal RNA", at positions 509 to 808 of the family's 1533-position model. The record is from RNAcentral.